This 251-nucleotide long non-coding RNA is filed under the name Gallus gallus (chicken). Lineage: Eukaryota; Metazoa; Chordata; Aves; Galliformes; Phasianidae. The record is from RNAcentral.
UAGAGAGACACCUGGCACAGCUCAGGGCGGUCCACGUUCCGUAGAGGGAAGGAGAGCUCCAGCUGUUCAAUGACCGACUUCUGCGCAUCAAACAUCAGGUUUUUGUAGAACUGGAUAAAGUGGGAGAAGGUCAUCUCAUUCCUGGCUUCCACCUCCACAAGCUUGUCCCGCAGGAACCUCAUGUUGGGCACUCUGUAGUUCACCUGGGGCAGCAUGGCCUUCAGGUCCUUCACUGUAAUGCUGCCUUCCCG